AAAACUCCAGUCAGUGAACUUUGCUGUCUUGAUUUAAAUUCAAUAAACUAAAACUUUCAACAACGGAUCUCUUGGUUCUGGCAUCGAUGAAGAACGCAGCGAAAUGCGAUAAGUAAUGUGAAUUUGCAGAAUUCAUGUGAAUCAUCGAAUCUUUUGAACUGCACAUUGCUGCCCUUUGGUAUUCCGAAGUGGCAUGCCUGUUCGAGCGUCAUUACACCCCUCAAGCUCUGACUUGGUGUUAGGGCGGCUGUCCUCCCGGACGCUGCCUCAAAGACCUCGGCGGUGGACGUCUUGCCUCAAAGCGUAGUAGAAAACACCUCGCUUUUGGAGGACGGGACUGACCUGCUCGCCGGACGGAACCUUUGAAUUCAUUUUCCUA
Molecule: ribosomal RNA, 379 nt
Filed under: Pseudofusicoccum sp. UFMGCB 5130
Lineage: Eukaryota; Fungi; Ascomycota; Dothideomycetes; Botryosphaeriales; Botryosphaeriaceae
Description: eukaryotic LSU rRNA
Rfam family: 5.8S ribosomal RNA (bases 52-211)
Source: RNAcentral